Molecule: long non-coding RNA, 1180 nt
Organism: Daphnia pulex (common water flea)
Lineage: Eukaryota; Metazoa; Arthropoda; Branchiopoda; Diplostraca; Daphniidae
Exons: 3
Source: RefSeq, a predicted model, not a curated record
UUAACUAAGGCGUCGUAUGCUGUUGGGUGUUGUAUUGUUAAUGGCUGGGUCGACCACUGGUGUACCGAUGUCUCCUGGGUAUGGCGGAUGCCAAACCGCAAUGCUGCCGCCUUACUACACAACAACAACAUACGCAACAACCGGUUCCUACACCACCAAGGCUCGAGAGUGUUACAAUUCAUGAUGCCCCGAGUUGCUACCCCGAACCCCGAGUUACAUCACCAGAGGCGGAGUACUACACCGAGGCUCCUAAGUACUACAACCGCAAUACUACACGUCUAUGUAUGCUGCCCCUGCCUACUACACCGAGGCCCCGCAUUACUACGACACCGAAGCGCUUAAGUACUACACUACAACCUACGUUGCCCCGAGCUACUACACCUACGUACCGAAGAAUUACUGUGCGUAAAAGGAGUCGUUGAAAAAAGAAGUCGUGCCCAGCAGUGCCUUAUCUGUCACCAACUGGAUUCCUCAUCGUGUAACCGAUUCUCAAUUAUGGAUAACUGGCGUCUUGCUCCUGUUGGAUUUUGUAUCGUUGAUGGCUGGGUCGACCACUGAUGUACCAAUGUCUCCGUGGUAUUCCGCAAACUAAACCGCAACGCCGCCGCCUUCCUAACUUACGCAACGACCAGUUCCUGCACCGAAGUCUUCAAGUACUACACCACUGAAGCACCGGAGUUUUAUACCACAACUUACGCUGCCCCGGGUCAUUACACUGACGCCCUGAAGUAUUACUCUGCCCCGAGUUACUACACCACCAAGGCGACGGAUUACUACAUGACAAUGCAUGCUGUCCCAUCCGACUACACCGAGGCUCCGAAUUGCUACACCGAGGCUCCCGCUGAUUACUCCACCAAAACGGCCGAAUACUACACCGAAGCGGGAAAGUCCUUCUCUGUCUGAUCUACACAACCACAACUGAGGCGACCAAGUAUUACGCAGUCCCUACUUACUAUCCAGAAGCUGCUCUUUCGUACUGAUGCUCCAGUCUACUACACCACGACCUACGCUACACCUAGCUACAACACCGCAGCUCCCAAGUACUACACCGAAGAAGCCGCCUGUUACACAUCCACGUACGCAGCCUGGAAUACCACAUCGAGGAAUUUAAGUAUUACCCUGCUCCAAAGUACUACCAUCUGAGGUUCAUAUGUAUUAAACCAGCAAUUCUCCCGACUAU